Molecule: non-coding RNA, 183 nt
Filed under: Candidatus Faecimonas gallistercoris
Lineage: Bacteria; Bacillati; Bacillota; Bacilli
Description: 6S RNA
Rfam family: 6S / SsrS RNA
About the family: E. coli 6S RNA was the first non coding RNA to be sequenced, but its function was unknown until recently. It consists of 184 nucleotides that fold into an extended hairpin structure with a large single-stranded internal bulge.
Source: RNAcentral
AUUUGUCAAGGAGAUGCGAGACCUGUUCUCAUAUAAAACCGACUAAAGUGACGAUACGGGAGUUUUGAUCAGUUAUCGGUGUUGAAGACCUAUUUUUAAUAGGGAUCCUAAUGAUAGCGUAAGAACACCCACCUGUAAAUAUGCAGGUUUUAUCGUUGGACAGAACGCUUUCCUUGAUUUUUU